AUGAUACUGUCAAUUCAACAACAUGUGUAUUUACUUAAGCCACUGGAUUGCCCAUUAGAAGAUGCAGGCAUCGCUCAAGUAGUAGCUCUUCUUACGGCUCUAGAAGAAAACAAAGUCGAAGUCAUUCAAGGGGUCGUGGAAAAUCCUAUAGAGUUCAGAGGUCUAGGUCAAAAAGCAGAACAAGAAGGUCCAGGUCAAGAGCUUGUCCACGUUCUCAUAGUCGAAGCAGUGAAAGGUCCAGCCAUAGAAGAACCCGUAGUCGGCCUUGGGAUAGAGAACAACGUAAAGGCAGAGAUAAAGAGAAAAGAGAAAAGGAGAAGGAUAAAGGCAAGGACAAGGAAUUACACAUCAAAUGUGGCCACCAGCUGAGCAGGCCAAAGCCAGACUACAACUGGUUCUUGAAGCUGCUGCAAAAGCUGAUGAAGCAUUGAAAGCCAAAGAAAGAAAUGAGGAAGAAGCAAAGAGAAGAAAGGAGGAAGACCAAGCCACCUGGUAGAACAAGUGAAAAGAGUAAAAGAAAUUGAAGCUAUUGAAAGUGAUUCUUUUAUUCAGCAGACAUUCAGGUCAAGUAAAGAAGUCAAAAAGUCAGUGGAACCUACUGAAGUGAAACAUGCGACUUCAACAUCAGGACCAGCAUCAGUACUUGCUGAUCCACCCAGUACUGAAAAAGAAAUAGACACUACCAGCAUCCCUACUGCAAUCAAGUAACAAGAUGACAAUUCUCUGGCCCACCCAAAUUUAUUUGUUGACAAGUCUCCCUAUUUUAAGGUCAGCUGAUUUACAACCUUAAUACCAUGAGGGAGGUCUUAAUGCAAUUUCGUCAUAGAAUGUAACAUAUUCACAUGUUCCAGGGAUUAGGACAUGAAUAUCUUUGAGAAAAUCAUUUUGUGCCUGCCUCAAUCCCUAACCCACUGUUUUUUCCACUUCUAAGACUAACAAGUAGCCAGAGAAGCAGUAGAGCUAAAAUGAAAAGCUUUCGAAAGUGAUGCUGAGAAGAGACUUACCUGUCACCACCUAGGAUAUACUCAGAUUUUUUAUUAUGUUAACAUUUCCUGGAAGAGUGGUUCUAUUGUAACAACGCAUGGCUUUUCUACAUGUGAACAGUCAGGGUUUGAAAUUGUAUGAAGGGGCCCACUUGGUUAAUCCUUCGCCUGCAGCGCCGGCAUCCCAUAUGGGCACCAGGUUCUAGUCCCGGUUGCUUAUUAAAAAAAGAAAGAAAGAAAUUGUAUGAAAUGCAUUUUCUGGAAAAAUAAACUUGCCAUUAAGUCAUUCA
Molecule: long non-coding RNA, 1273 nt
Filed under: Oryctolagus cuniculus (rabbit)
Lineage: Eukaryota; Metazoa; Chordata; Mammalia; Lagomorpha; Leporidae
Description: lncRNA (ENSOCUG00000013535.3)
Source: RNAcentral